Molecule: ribosomal RNA, 400 nt
Filed under: uncultured bacterium
Lineage: Bacteria
Description: bacterial SSU rRNA
Rfam family: Bacterial small subunit ribosomal RNA
Source: RNAcentral
UGGGGAAUAUUGCGCAAUGGGGGAAACCCUGACGCAGCAACGCCGCGUGGGUGAAGAAGGCCUUCGGGUUGUAAAGCCCUGUCAGAAGGGAAGAAGGGAUUGCGAGCGAAUAACUCGCAACCUUGACGGUACCUUUAGAGGAAGCGCCGGCUAACUCCGUGCCAGCAGCCGCGGUAAUACGGAGGGCGCAAGCGUUGUUCGGAAUUAUUGGGCGUAAAGCGCGUGUAGGCGGUUCGGAAAGUUGGGUGUGAAAGCCCUUGGCUCAACCAAGGAAUUGCAUUCAAAACUACCGGACUUGAGUGCGGGAGAGGGAAGUGGAACUCCUAGUGUAGAGGUGAAAUUCGUAGAUAUUAGGAGGAACACCUGUGGCGAAGGCGGCUUCCUGGACCGACACUGACGC